AGCAGUCGCCGCGGUAAUGCGAGGGGGGCAAGCGUUGUUCGGAAUUAUUGGGCGUAAAGGGCGCGUAGGCGGUUUGACAAGUCUUAUGUGAAAUCUCUGGGCUCAACCCAGAGUCUGCAUGGGAAACUGUCGGGCUUGAGUAUGGGAGAGGUGAGUGGAAUUUCCGGUGUAGCGGUGAAAUGCGUAGAUAUCGGAAGGAACACCUGUGGCGAAAGCGGCUCACUGGACCAUAACUGACGCUGAGGCGCGAAAGCUAGGGGAGCAAACAGGAUUAGAUACCCGCGUAGUCCCUGUCUCUUAUAC
This 303-nucleotide ribosomal RNA is filed under the name uncultured bacterium. RNAcentral's name for it is "partial 16S ribosomal RNA". It matches the Rfam family "Bacterial small subunit ribosomal RNA", at positions 507 to 807 of the family's 1533-position model. The record is from RNAcentral.